Molecule: small RNA, 127 nt
Filed under: Rhizobium sp. LC145
Lineage: Bacteria; Pseudomonadati; Pseudomonadota; Alphaproteobacteria; Hyphomicrobiales; Rhizobiaceae
Description: Alphaproteobacterial ar14
Rfam family: Alphaproteobacterial ar14
About the family: Smr14C2 was renamed NfeR1 (Nodule Formation Efficiency RNA) highly expressed in salt stress and during the symbiotic interaction on legume roots.
Source: Rfam by way of RNAcentral
AGGUCAUCCAACGACGCACUCCUCCUCCCAGCGAAGUUGGAUAGAGAUCGGCAAUAUCCUCCUCCUCCCAAUUGCCGAUCAAGUUUAAAAAGCCUGGCGCCUCCUCCUCCCGCGCCAGGCUUUUUUG